AUUGAACGCUGGCGGCAUGCUUUACACAUGCAAGUCGAACGGUAACAGGUUAAGCUGACGAGUGGCGAACGGGUGAGUAAUGCAUCGGAACGUGCCCGAUCGUGGGGGAUAACGCAGCGAAAGCUGCGCUAAUACCGCAUACGAUCUGAGGAUGAAAGCGGGGGCCCGUAAGGCCUCGCGCGAUCGGAGCGGCCGAUGUCAGAUUCGGUAGUUGGUGGGGUAAAGGCUCACCAAGCCAACGAUCUGUAGCUGGUCUGAGAGGACGACCAGCCACACUGGGACUGAGACACGGCCCAGACUCCUACGGGAGGCAGCAGUGGGGAAUUUUGGACAAUGGGCGAAAGCCUGAUCCAGCAAUGCCGCGUGCAGGAAGAAGGCCUUCGGGUUGUAAACUGCUUUUGUACGGAGCGAAAAGGCUCUCUCUAAUACAGGGGGCUCAUGACGGUACCGUAAGAAUAAGCACCGGCUAACUACGUGCCAGCAGCCGCCGUAA
RNAcentral lists this ribosomal RNA (493 nucleotides) under uncultured bacterium. Its description in RNAcentral is "partial 16S ribosomal RNA". It matches the Rfam family "Bacterial small subunit ribosomal RNA", at positions 30 to 523 of the family's 1533-position model. The record is from RNAcentral.